AAUUUUUUUAGGAUUUGUUCUCUGUGUGGACGUAGCCGGAGGUAGGGGAAGGGAGUGGCGGCGGUAGGGGAACGGGGCGGAGGGGGACAAGGAAGCUGCUACGGGGGAGGGAACGGUGAAAGAGGUAUGCAGCCCCGACGUGUGACGCAGAAGCGGUAGGAGGAGCGCAGCCCCUGCGUGUACCGUAGGAACGGUAGGAGGAGCGCAGCCCUUUCCACGGCGGCGGCGGCAAGGAGGCGCGCUGAACUCUACGGCUCCGGCGGCAAGAAGGAGGCGUGUCGGUCCCUGCUGCGUUCAUGGCUGAAGGGGCAGGAGUCGACGUAGUCAAGUCAUCAUGCGGGGGACGGGAACGAGUAGGAACAAACAAGGAGCGGCUGCCACGGUUGGCCGUGUAUCGUCGGCUGACCAGAGUCGGGCUCCGUGGCUGGCUGCGUCGGGCGUCGCCGGUUGGUCGCGGAGUCGGGGUCUCCUUUACUCGUUGAAGAGAGUUGGAGAGGUUUUAGCGCUCAGGGAUGGUCACAAACUAAACGCUCAACACGACGACUAAACAGAGCUCACGAGUAUACAGAACUAUUUUAACGGUAAAAAGUACCUGUAAUAAACGUUAACUACACUCAGAACGAAAAAAAUAUCUUCUCUAAACGUCCACAUCACUAUAUUCAUGAUGAUGUACUACCCUUUUGUGGUACGUUCUGUUACGUCACUUUAUUUACGUCCUAAGAAGAUGAGUUUGUGACUUGUUCCUCUUUUAAUUUCUACCAAAGAAGGCUCUCUGCAGUACAACUACUUGUACAGUUAUUCUAGUAACUUGACUUUUUAUUCUAGUGCUUCCAUUUAACUCCUACUUACCGAGUCUACAACUAACGUUCCAAUUGUUACCCCGAUGAUGUUCUAUUAACCUUAAGGUAAAGUCCUAGUUUUUUUAAUCUUACAGUAAAAAUCCUAGUUACAAAGUUUGUAAUAUCAACUAACGUUCCAGUUCUUAACCCGAUGACUAUCUAACAAAGUGGAGAACAUUAAAAACCUA
This 1027-nucleotide ribosomal RNA is filed under the name Triticum aestivum (bread wheat). RNAcentral describes it as "partial small subunit ribosomal RNA". Lineage: Eukaryota; Viridiplantae; Streptophyta; Magnoliopsida; Poales; Poaceae. The record is from RNAcentral.